RNAcentral lists this ribosomal RNA (252 nucleotides) under uncultured bacterium. RNAcentral describes it as "partial 16S ribosomal RNA". It matches the Rfam family "Bacterial small subunit ribosomal RNA", at positions 524 to 776 of the family's 1533-position model. The record is from RNAcentral.
UACGUAGGAUGCGAGCGUUAUCCGGAUUUAUUGGGUUUAAAGGGUGCGCAGGCGGCGUGUCAAGUCAGCGGUAAAAUGUCGGGGCUCAACCCCGGCCGGCCGUUGAAACUGGCGUGCUCGAGUUGGAGAGAAGUACGCGGAAUUCGUGGUGUAGCGGUGAAAUGCAUAGAUAUCACGAAGAACCCCGAUUGCGAAGGCAGCAUACCGGCUCCACACUGACGCUGAGGCACGAAAGCGUGGGUAUCGAACAGG